GAUGAACGCUGGCGGCGUGCCUAACACAUGCAAGUCGAACGAAGAUUACGGACGGAAGUUUUCGGAUGGAAGCCUGUAAUUCUUAGUGGCGGACGGGUGAGUAACGCGUGGGCAACCUGCCCUAUACAGGGGGAUAGCAGCUGGAAACGGCUGGUAAGACCGCAUAAGUCGGUUAAAUCGCAUGAUUUGAUCGGGAAAUGAGCAAUCAGGUAUAGGAUGGGCCCGCGUCCGAUUAGCCAGUUGGCAGGGUAAAAGCCUACCAAAGCGACGAUCGGUAGCCGGACUGAGAGGUCGGACGGCCACAUUGGGACUGAGACACGGCCCAAACUCCUACGGGAGGCAGCAGUGGGGGAUAUUGCACAAUGGAGGAAACUCUGAUGCAGCGACGCCGCGUGAGUGAAGAAGUAUUUCGGUAUGUAAAGCUCUAUCAGCAGGGAAGAUGAUGACGGUACCUGACUAAGAAGCCCCGGCUAACUACGUG
This 481-nucleotide ribosomal RNA is filed under the name uncultured bacterium. Its description in RNAcentral is "partial 16S ribosomal RNA". It matches the Rfam family "Bacterial small subunit ribosomal RNA", at positions 28 to 507 of the family's 1533-position model. The record is from RNAcentral.